AUGUCGUCUCCCUCCUCCUCCAACAAUGAGGGCAACGAUGCUUGGCUAAUGAAGACAGAGCUGAAGAGAGAAGAACCCAUGGAGAUCAACAAGGAUGAAGGGAUCAAGAAGGCCACGGAGGACCAAGCUCCGGCAACAGAAAACAUCCUUCAACUUGAUCACAAUCUUCUUACCCCAACUAAGAUCGAAGCUUUCAAGAUGAUCGAGUUAGCUCGUAUACAAAAUAAGUAUCUCACACAUGAAAAUAUUUUGUUGAAGGAGCAUAUCAUCGCACUCAAAGGCAUCAUCCGCAAGUUAGAAGACCCCCUACGCGCGAUGUGCGACUAUCCAUCAUCAACAACUCCACCUUCUUCACCGACAAAGAAGAAUUGA
Molecule: ribosomal RNA, 372 nt
Filed under: Triticum aestivum (bread wheat)
Lineage: Eukaryota; Viridiplantae; Streptophyta; Magnoliopsida; Poales; Poaceae
Description: partial small subunit ribosomal RNA
Source: RNAcentral